GAUAUGCAUGCAUGCCACUGUAUUUUAAUUUUAUUUUUAUUGGUCGGCAUACUUUUGUAUUUAAAAUCAAAAUGAUGGAUUAUUAUUCUAGCUAGGUAAAAUAUAAAAUUGUUACUAAAGCGGCAUGCAAAAGUAAAGGGACUUGGAUCUAUCUAAUUAGAAAAGUUACACCUUGAAUUUUCUAUCCCAAAAAAGGUUACCUUCAAUUUUGAAUUCAGUUUUGAUAUGAUUUAAUCGAUGUUAUUACGUCUUGUUUUCAAAUACAGUCUUU
Molecule: long non-coding RNA, 271 nt
Filed under: Arabidopsis lyrata
Lineage: Eukaryota; Viridiplantae; Streptophyta; Magnoliopsida; Brassicales; Brassicaceae
Description: long non-coding RNA (ALYR_LNC001768)
Source: RNAcentral